AACGAACCACCCAAACGUUAUUCGGAAUUACUGGGCUUAAAGGGUGCGUAGGCGGUGCGGAAAGUUGGGUGUGAAAUACCUCAGCUUAACUGAGGAACGGCGCUCAAAACUACCGUGCUUGAGGGAGAUAGAGGUGAGCGGAACUUAGGGUGGAGCGGUGAAAUGCGUUGAUAUCCUAAGGAACACCGGUGGCGAAAGCGGCUCACUGGAUCUCUUCUGACGCUGAGGCACGAAAGCUAGGGUAGCGAACGGG
This 253-nucleotide ribosomal RNA is filed under the name uncultured bacterium. Its description in RNAcentral is "partial 16S ribosomal RNA". It matches the Rfam family "Bacterial small subunit ribosomal RNA", at positions 524 to 776 of the family's 1533-position model. The record is from RNAcentral.